AACGUAAAGUUUACAGAACUUUUCAUUGGAACUGUGUUGUGGCAGUUUAAUUUAUUUUUAAAAAGCUUCGUAUAGAGUUAGAUGUAUUUCUUUUAUCUCCGAUGAAUAGCUUGUUCUGAUUUUCUUGAAAAUAUAGGCCUUAACAUAAACUAGAAGCUGCGGAUUCUAACAAUGUUUCUCGUCUUUUCUGUUGAUUCCCAUUUGCUUAUAAAUUUACCUCUUCAUUUUGGUGUAGCUCUUUAUGAAAUUGAAGAAGUGGAAUCCUUGCAAUUUGAUUUUGGCACUGUCAGAACGGCAACGGAUAACUUCUCUGAAGCAAAUAAGCUUGGGCAAGGUGGAUUCGGUGCUGUAUAUAAGGUAAAAAAAAAAAUGUUAGGAUGAAAAAUACCGUUAGUUCUGUCAAAUAGUAGUUGAAUAUCGAGUUUUAAAUGUCUACCUCAAUCUGUUGUAUAUGAAACUUUUACUUUGAUGUGUUUACAGGGUAGGCUUCCUAACGGACAAGAUAUAGCCGUGAAGAGGUUGUCUAGGGAAUCAGGACAGGGAGAACUAGAAUUUAAGAAUGAGGUGAUAUUGGUGGCCAAGCUUCAGCAUAGGAAUUUGGUUAGGCUACUGGGUUUCUGCGUUGAAAAAGAAGAAAGNNNNNNNNNNNNNNNNNNNNNNNNNNNNNNNNNNNNNNNNNNNNNNNNNNNNNNNNNNNNNNNNNNNNNNNNNNNNNNNNNNNNNNNNNNNNNNNNNNNNNNNNNNNNNNNNNNNNNNNNNNNNNNNNNNNNNNNNNNNNNNNNNNNNNNNNNNNNNNNNNNNNNNNNNNNNNNNNNNNNNNNNNNNNNNNNNNNNNNNNNNNNNNNNNNNNNNNNNNNNNNNNNNNNNNNNNNNNNNNNNNNNNNNNNNNNNNNNNNNNNAUUAUUCUUCCUCUUAAGUUUUUCCUGACUUUGUAAUGAAACUGCAGAUCCAAUCAAGCGGGUGAAUUUGGACUGGGAUACGCGUUAUAAAAUCAUCUUCGGCAUAGCUAGGGGUCUCCUUUACCUCCAUGAAGAUUCUCGACUUCGGAUUAUUCACCGUGAUUUAAAAGCUAGUAACAUUUUGUUAGAUGAUGAGAUGAAUCCCAAAAUUGCAGAUUUUGGCAUGGCAAGAUUGUUCGCACUUGACCAAACGCAAGAAGAUACUAGUAAAAUUGUGGGGACCUUGUAAGUAAAACAUAAAAAGAAAUUUCACUUAAUAGCCACAAUCGAAAAAAUAAAAUUAAUAGAACUGACUUCUGUGUUACAGAGGAUAUAUAGCUCCAGAAUUUGUGAGGCGUGGACACUUCUCUGUCAAGUCAGAUGUAUUUAGCUUUGGUGUCUUAAUUUUAGAAAUCGCAAGCGGUCAAAAGAAUAAUGACUUCCGUAUUGGAGAGGAAGAAGAAGAUCUUCGAACCUAUGUAUGAAAUAGUAUUUAUAGGAACUACAUUUCUUUAUAUCUUGAAUUUUUCUUAAUCAUGGUAUCACUUACAUGGAAAUUUUUGCAGGCCUGGAGAAACUGGAAUGAAGGAACUGCUCUGAAUCUGAUAGAUCCAGCGUUGACCGUUGGCUCGAGAAGUGAAAUGUUGAGAUGCAUUCACAUUGGAUUACUGUGUGUUCAAGAAAAUGAAACUGAACGACCAACAAUGGCUCAAAUUAUUACGCUGCUCAGUAGCCACUCCGUUACUCUGGCAGUUCCCCUCAGACCUGCAUUUUUUAUGCAUGGUGAAUUAAGGAUGGGGACACAAUCUUCAUCAGAAAAUAAUGGGUCCAGAAAUGAAAUGUCGAUCUCCGAUCUGUACCCGCGAUAGUAUUUGAUGAAUUUUAAAUUGACAAUUAGAAGAACUCAUGUUAUGACCACUCGUAUUCUAUCUGCCAGAUUUCAAAUUCUGCUAGCAUUUUUUCUUUAAUUAAAAUUUCCAAAGUAUUAAUUGGUAAUUAGAUAGUUACUUUCUCAUGGCAUGUCAUCAUUACUGUCAUUUUUAAUUUUAUUUUUUGAAUAUUUAAUUAAAUUAGUAUUGUUAAUGAGAUAAUUAUGAAAUAAAAACAAUGAUACCAAGUAGAAAAGAAAACUCAAAGAAUUUUUUAUUAACUAAAACCAAAAGUUAACCACAAGUUACAUGCAUGACUAGUAUAUAAAGCAAAGAAAACCCUACUCUAUUGGCUAGGCCACAACUAACUAUAGCUGGCUCAACUAGUAUUACCCAUUUUAGCUACUGUAUUUAUAAAUAUGCCAUCAUGUAAUCUUUAGCCAACUGUCAAGACUCCCCUUCAAGUUGAACAUAUAUAUUAUGUAUGUUCAACUUGUUGAGUAAGUAAUUAAAUUGUGUAGGAUAUAACGAUUUAGUGAAAAUAUCAGGUCUUUGCACUAUUGUCUUCAUAUAUUCAGUUUGAAUAUGGCCUUGUGCAAUAUGCUCUCUCACAUGAUGAUAACACAACUCAAUAUAUUCCUCUCUUUCAUCUCCUCUUUAGAUUUCUUAGCUCAACUUUACUUAAAACUUCUCCUUUCGCUUUUGGCUUCUUCUCGUCAAUUAUUAUUUUCUAAAUCGCUCAAAUACCCAAGAAAUUUUCAAAAAAACUAAAAUGAGAGAGUGCAUAUAACUUCACAUUGGUCAAGCCGGUAUCCAAGUGGGUAACGCCUGCUGGGAGCUCUACUGCCUUGAACAAAGCAUUCAAGUGAGUUUAUAACAUUUCAUCAUUGUUAUGUUUUCUAUUUUCUCUUCUACUGAUUUUAAUGGCGACUAAUUUUGUGUUUUAACUCAGCCUAUGGAUAAAUGCCAGGGGACAAGAUAGUUGGCGGUGGAGAUGAUGCAUUCAACACUUUCUUUAGUGAAACUGGUGCUGGAAAGCAUGUCCCUCGCGCCGUCUUCCUUGAUUUGGAACCUACCUUUCGUGAAAAACUGGAUUCUUCGCUAUGUGCAGGGCAGCCUUGGUAUCACAAUAUAACUUUGCAGCUUGUGUAUGAUCUAUACCAAAAUCUUUCAAUAGAUAAAGCAACCGCAUUAUUUCACUUGUUGUUGAUGCCAUGGCCUAUAUUCUGCUUCUGCAAAACUCCUAGAAACAGUGCUUUGUUUCUUCGAUAUCCAAUUAACCAAUGAGUCCCUAAUGAAGAUACAAAACCCUGUCAAAGAUUUUCUGGUCUCUUUGCAGGAUGCCCAAUCACUAUUAGUAUAAGCAUUAAGCUAUAACUUUGAAUCUCUAGAGAAUAAAAUUCCUUAUCCAGGAGCUUGUUUCAAAUAUUUCAAAACCUUGAAUGCUGCUGUGAGAUGCAACUCAGAAGGUUUGUUCAUGAAUUGUGUAAGUACAUGAACAACAUAGCUAAUAUCCGGUGUAAUCAGGGUUAAAUACAUUAAUUAUCUAACCAGCUUCCUGUAAACAAAAGGAUCACUCAACAAGUAUUGAUCAUCGUGCACCAUAUAGAAACUAACCUCUAUAGGUAUACUGUUAGGCUUAGUUGCUAACUGCCCAUACUCUUGAAGUAGUUCCAAAGUAUAUUUUCUCUAUCAAAUAGAAAUACCAGUUUGUUACUUAGCAACCUCUAAACCCAUGAAGUACCUUAAAGUUUCGAAGUCUUUAAGUUUGAAAUGAGACUCCAGGGCUGCCUUAGUUUCUUUAAUAAGAGAUUGAUUAUUCCUUACUAUUGCAUUGUCAUCAAUAUAAACAAGCAAAACAAUAAAACCUGAAUAUGCAAUCUUAGUAAAUAAGGAGUAGUCUAAUUUGGAUUGAAUAAAACCAUGUUGUAAGAGAGCUUUCAAAAAUUUAACAUUCCAUCAUCUGGAGGCUUGCUUAAGCCCAUAUAAGGAUUUCUUAAGUUUACACACAAGCUUGCCAUAAUUGAGACUGGUACCAAUAGUGGACUUAGAACUAUCAGAAUCACAUAAACGCCCCUCCUGAAGUUAAUAGCCAGGUGGCAGAUCCAUGUACACCUCCUCAAUCAGAUCACCAUUGAGGAAUGCAUUAUUGAUGUUCAGCUGAGCUAAAGACCAAUUGUUAAUAGUUACUAAAGCAAAAAAAACACUCUCACAUUUGUGUGCUUAACAACGGGACUAAAAGUUUCUUAAUAGUCCAAUCCUCCCUAUGUGUAUACCUCUUAGCCAUUAACCUAGCUUUAUAACGUUCAACAAAUCCAUCAGAGUGGCAUUUGACUUUGUACACCCACUUACACCCGAUAGUUAACUUACCAAGAGGUAAAAUAACCACUCUCCAAGUAGAAUUUUCAACCAAGGCAUCAAGUUCUGAUUUCAUGGCGGCUUGCCAAUGAUCAUGCUUAACAGCUUCUUAGUAAGUUUUGGGUUUAAAAUAACGGGUAAAAGAUAAGGCAAAUGAUUUAAAAGAAUGAAAGUGAAGCAUAAGAAACAUAAUUAUGUAUAGGAUAAGUAACAGUUAAGGCAUAUGAGUUUGUAGCAUGUCUAACAAUAUGCAAGUAAUCAUUCAAAUAUGCAAGAACAUGUGGAACUCUAGUACUUCCUUUAAAUGGAACAUGUGUAUUUGUAGAUGGUGAAAGAACUGGUGAGGAAGAAAUAUGAACUAGUGAAGGAGAAUGAGAAGGAGAAAUAAGAGAAGGAGGUAAAGGAGAGGAAGGUAUUAUGGGAUUUGAUGAGGGAGAAAGAGUAUAGGGAAGAUCAAUCUCAAUUGUGUUUAACAUUGUAUCUAUGGAAUUGAACAUCCCUAGAUACAAGAUAAGUUUUGGAUUCCAAGUCAAAUAACCUGUAACCUUUGAUGUGCAUGGGAUAACCAACAAAAAUGCAUCUUCGAGCUCUUGCAUCAAAUUUAUUAUAAUGAGAAACUAAGUUUGAUGAAUAACAGAAGCAACUAAAUGAUAUGAGAUGAUCAUAAGAAGGUAAUCUUUUGAAAAUAAUUUCAAAAGGAGUUCUACCUUGAAGUUGAGUUGAAGGAGUUCGAUUAAUUAUGUAUGUUGCAAGCAAUACUGCAUCACUCCAAAAAUAUAAAGAUAAGUGAGUAUUAAAAAGCAAGUCACGAGUAACAUUUAAAACAUGUUGAUGUUUAUGUUCAACUGUGCCGUUCUGUUGAGGUGAAUAUGCACAGGUUUGUUGAUGGAUUAUCCUUUUAGAAUGAAAGAAAUCAUGUAGUAAGAAUUUUAUCCCUUGAUCAGUUCUAAUAGUUUGAAUGCUAACUGGAAACUAAUUUAGAAUUAGAUUAUAAAAGUAUUCAAUCAAUUGAGAAACUUCAGACUUAUAUUUCAUAAGGAACACCCUAGUACAUUUUGAGAAGUCAUCAACAAUACUUAGAAAUAAUGGUUAUUAUGUAGGUAAGCUUGUGCAUUAGGAACCCACACAUCCAUAUGAACAAGUUGAAAUAAAUGAGUGCUACAAGAUUCUGAUACAGGCAAAGGAUGCUUUUUAAGCUUUGCCUUUGGACAAGCAUCACAGGGAAUCUGUGAUGUUGAAUUAGAAGGAAUAAGAUGUUGAAGCUGAGGAAAGUUAUGUACCGCAAUAUGGCCCAUCCUAUGAUGCCAAACAUUAGGUGACAGUUUAUUGAUAAAAGAUUAUUUGAACAAAUGGCUUCUAGUUAGAUGAUGUGAAGUCUUGAGGAAGUAGAGUCCUUAUUGUAUUUUAGCAAGUCCAAUCAUCUUCAAAGAAGAAUGGUCUUGAAUACAAAAGAAGUAGCAGAGAAAAUAAAAGAAACAUUAAGUAAUUUUGCAAUUUUACUUACAGAAUUCAAAAUGAAAUUGAAAACUGGAAUGUGUAAAAAUUGAUGAAGCACUAGAUAUGAGCUAAUGACAACUGUAAGAAUUGAUGAAGCACUAGAUAGGAGCUAAUGACAACUGUCCCGAUAUGAGUUAUAUUAGCUUGCAUACCAUUAGGUAAAGAAACAUGCAUAUUAGUCAUAGGAUAAGAGGAAUCAAAACAAUCCAAAGAAGAUGCAAUAUGAUCUGUUGCACCUAAGUCAAGGAUCCAAAAUGACAUGUUUGACGUGAAAAAUGAUGAUGUUUAUGGAUAAUGAGCAGCGGAACAUAUUUAAGCACAAGCUAUACCUGCUGCAUUAACCAUAGGUAUGUAUAACAGUAGAUGGAGAGGGUGUUUGAUAUGGUAAAGAUGAUGCAGAAACAGUUUGAUUCAUAGGUGAACAUGAUUGUUGAGAAGUAUCGUCAAUUUCUUGACUUGAUUCCUAGAUAAACUCAACUGAGAUAGUGAUUCAACUGUUCCUGAAAAAUCACCUUCCAAUAUAGUUCAUGUCACUUGAUUAGCAGUAAGUGAUGAGUUUGUUCUAUCCCUAUUAAACUUAAAACUAGCAGGGAAUCCAAUGAUCUUGUAACAACAAUCCUUAGUAUGUCCAGAUUUACCAUAAUGAGUGCAAAUCAUAUUAGAUCUAUUAUGUUUAACAGCCAUGGCAGACAUUUCUGUAAAAUUUGUUGAUUGUAUCCGCAGGCUCCUUUGAUUUUUCUCUCUAAGGACCAUGUUUUAAACUUGAUCUAACAAAGGAGAAGGUUUCAUGAUCAAUAUCUAUGAUCUGACUCCUUGAAAAGAAUUAUUCAAUCCAUUCAAAAACUUAAAGACGUAAUCCUUUUGUUGUGUAUCAACAAAAGAUUGAAAACAAUCUUGAUUACAACAACCACAGGAACAAUGAGAAAAAAGACGAAAUUAUGAAGUUCCUCCCAAAUGCCAUUUAAUUCAGUAAAAUAUCCAUCUACUGUAUUAUUACCAUGUGUAAGAAUGCAUAAAAGAUUUUGCAAAUGACAGAUCCUAGAAUCAUCCGGCUAUGAGAACCGUGUAUUCAACUUCUUCCAAAUUUGUUUGGCUUCUUCAAAAUAAAACACAGUUGAUACGAUAGAAGAAGAAAUAUAUCUCAAAAGCCAAGCUACAAGAAGAUUAUUGCAUUAUAUCCAAGGUAAAUAUAAAGGAUUAUUAAGUGACGGUUUAGGAAUAGAACCAUUAAGAAAAUCUUAUUUGUUACGUAUUAAAACAGCUAGCAAAAGAAAUCGUUUCCAAGUAGUAAAGCUCAUUGAAGUCAGCUCUAGAGUAACAAUCACGGAACUCUAAUUUUCUGAAUGAUGAAGAAAAUAAAGCAAAGAAGAGUUUUCCAAAAGAUUUGUAGUAUCUCUAUAAGUGAGAGAAUGAAAACUCAUCGAAACUGGAGAUGGAUUUGGAUUUACAAUUUUAGUCAAUGAUCAUAUCAACAAAACUCUAUAACCAAAGGAAAACGCUUAUAUUUGCGCUUGUAUUUUUUUCCAUUUUUAUUUACCUAUUUGUCAAUAAAAAUAUAAAUAAAUCUUUGAGUUUUCUAUACCAAACUUUUUUCUAAACAUUUGCGGUUUUUUUUAUGCAUUUAGCACUUGUUUUUUUUAGCCAUUAUGUUUUUGAAAUUUAUUAUUUGAAACUUAUUUAAUAAAUAUUUAUUAAGAAAAAAAGAAUUAACUUACUAUUUUAAUAAAAGAAUAUUUAUAGGAAUAGUUAAACUACAGAUCCAUUAACUUACUAUUUUAAUAAAAGAAUAUUUAUAGAAAUAGUCAAACUACAAAUCCAUUAAAAAAAUAUACAAAUGCCUUUUAAUGAAAAUAUAAAUAGUUAUAUAUUUAUAAAUAUAUAUUAUCACGAAUAUUCAUUAUAAUAAUUUUUCUAUAACUUAUGAAUGAUUAUAAAGUUUUUAUCAUUUAUAUUCUAUUAGAAAUAAAUAACUACAUCUUGAUUAGAUAAGAAAAAAAGAUUAAAAAAAAUUACUUUUUAGUUCUUAUACUUAAAUGAUUUAAUUCAAAAUUUAUAAAUUAAAACACUUUUAAUUCUUUUCUUUUAAAUUGCUAAAACCGCAAGUUUUGCCCCAUGCACCUUUUCUUUUUUGUCAUUGGUUCCCUGCACUAUUAGUUGUGUAUAUACGCUUCUUAUACUUUUAUUUUCUAACAUACAUUCCUUACAUUUUUAUUUUUUAUAUUUUUGUUAAUAUUAUACACCCAUUAUGUCUGUGAGAAAAAUAUCUUAUUUAGUCCAUAAAGUUUUAAAUGAUCAAUUAAGUCUUUGUAUUUUAAAUUUAGCAGGUUCUUAAAUUAUUUUUAUUUAUUUUACUAAAAUCAUCUCACAAAAUUUAAUAAUAAAACUGGGUCAAUAGGUUGGCUCAACACAAUUUUGCCAAUGAUGAGCCCAAUAACAAAUAGAGAAGAGUAGGAAUAUAUGGAUUAUAAACCAGGAUUCAAUGGAAACCGACUCUUGGUACUAUCAACCUUCUGAUGUUAAAUAUUUAAUAAAUCAAUAGUUUUAUUAAUGAAUAAAUAUUCAAAAAAUCGACUUCGUUGCUUAUUGAAUAUCUAGCUAAUUUCUUCAAAAAAAAGAAUAUAUAGCUAAUUACAAUGCAUUUUAUAAUCAUUAAUUAAUUGAACAAGAGUUAUUGGGCCGUCUCAUUGCAACAGAUAUUGGGCCUGAUAUAAUUAACUUUCAGGUCUGGGGUGACAAAACGAACCUUUUGGAACAUUUGGACCAAUCUUGACGGCCCUAAUCAUUGUUGAGGUGUUUUCUUCAAGGCUGGCUUAUUUUUAAGAAAUUAGUUUUUUCUUUUUUUUCCUUUUUCCUGCUGAUGCUAUUAUUACAUUUUUAUUAGGAUAAGAUAGUGUUUAAUUAUUGAAAUUAAAAAAUAAAAGUACCUCUUGUAUUGAAACUCAAAAAAAGUAUUCCAUAAAAGCUGGAAUUUCAAAGCGAAAAAAAGUGAAAGUUUAAGAUAUAAGUGGCGGUACUUACAUUAAUUAAUGAGGAUAUUUUUUAAAAUUAAUUAUUAAAUUAACAAUUAAGAAAAAAAAAAUCAUCAGAUUUUAGAAAAAUUAUUAGUUAGACUUAUGCUACUAAAUCAUCUAUAAAUAAAUUAAAUUAAAUAUUGACAUAUGAUAUUAUUUAUUAGGUAUUGCAUUUGAAUUGGCCGGUCUAUAUAUUACCGUUAAUCACUCAUGACUAUAAUCAACCAAUACAAAUGCAAAAGUUACAUGUCAACAUUUAAUUUGAUUUAUCUACAAAUGACAUAAUGAACUUAAUUUAUCUAAGAAUUUUUUCAAAUUUAACCCUAGUAAUUACACUUAUCUAGAUUUCUUUUUUACAAAUAUGGUAAUUUAUUACUACUUUGUAUAAAAGAAAUUAUUUUUCUUCUAGCACGCGAAUAUAUUAACAUAUUAACUAUAUCUACCAUUAAAAUAAAGAGAGAGGAAAAAUGGACGGACUAAAACAGAAAAUGCUAACAUAUCAUCAAUCUGUACUGUUAAGAAAAAGAAAGAAAGAAAAAUGGAGGGAAUAAAAUAGAAAAUGCCCAUCAAAAUGGGACGGAAAUUGUAUGAAUUAGGUAGUAUCGAUAUAGCUGAUUUAAGGACAUAAUAUUUUUUUUAGGACUCAUAAUAAUUAUACAGGAAGUGUAAAGAAAAAGGAAGGUGGAUGACGCACGGAGUAAAAAUGUUACAGCAGAAACUGUUGAAAGCAUGCAAUCUGAAGACCUUGACAGUAUUUUGUUCAUUGUUAGUAAAAUCUUCCGAUUGAUGGAGAUUUUGGAUGUCAAGUUGAAUGUUUGCCAUUUCAAAAGUUUUGAAUUUGUCAACAGUAAUGAUAAUAAUUAAUAAUCUUUUUAUUGACUCCCCCCCCCCCCCAAAAAAAAAAAAAAAAAAGGCUUCUUUUCCCAUAUUUGACAAGUUAAGCAUUGAAGAUUCUAUGUCGUCUGAAUAUGUAUAAAACUCCAUUAAGGAACCUAUCAUUUCUCCAUCCAUAUACAAAGCCCCAACAUAAAACUGAUUAUAAGAGAAAAUAAAAGUUCUUGACAGCGUCAAUGGGUUCUUUAAAACUGCUGAUUUCCUGGUUGUUUGUUCUUCUGUUAUUACUUUCUCUAACCAUUGCUCAGCCAAACUUCAUCCAGCAGUCCUGUGACAAUAGCAGAGGAAACUACACAGCGAAUACUCCCUACAAAGCGAACCUCGACAACAUCCUGUCAUCUCUCGCAUCCGACACAGAAAUUGACUACGGGUUUUACAAUCUAUCUAUCGGCGAAUCCCCUAACCAAGUAAAUGCUAUUGCACUUUGUCGAGGAGAUGUUGGAGUGGACAAUUGCCGAGGUUGUAUUAGUAACUCUACUCGUAAGAUUACAGAGGUCUGCCCAAACCAAAUAGACGCAUUUGGAAUAUAUGAUUUCUGUACACUUCGAUACUCCAACAGAUCGAUACUUGGUGUGGUAGAAGGAUCGCCCAUUCUCUACCUAAUAAAUGUGAACAAUGCCUCGGAUGUGAGUCAGUACACUCAGGCAUUGACAGCUUUGUUGGAUAGACUUCGAAGUGAGACAACAUCAGGAGACUCCGUUCGGAAAUUUGCGACAGGAAAUGAAACAGCAGGAUUUGAAAGGGUUUACGCACUUAUGCAAUGUACUCCUGACUUAACCGAAGAAGAGUGCGAUGUUUGCCUGGGUCAGGCUAUUUCAGAAAUUGGAAGUUGCUGUGCAGGGAGGACAGGGGCCGCUGUAUUUAAACCCAGCUGCCAUGUCAGGUUCGAAGAAUACCUUUUCUAUACAUCUACACCUCCGCCAGUCUCGCCCGUGCCUACUCCUCCUGCUCCACCCAUAGAAGGUACGUAGGUUUCACAGGUUAUGAGUCAUUGUGUAUAUUUAUAUAUACAUAGCUCUAGCAGUGACAGUGAUUAUUGACUAAGUGAAACUGAAGCCUUCUCCAGUAUUGUGAGGUUACGAGUUAUAACUCUAAUUGGAGCACAAUUGAUCAAGGUAAAUAAUUAUCCCAUAUUUGUUUCAAAAUUAGACCUUGUAGUCCGGUUUUACUAUUUAACUUGAGCACUUAAAACCUCCAAUUUAAUUAAUUUCUGCAGAAAAGAAGAGCAACAAAUCAAGGACAAUUAUUGCAAUCAUAGUUCCAACUGUUAGUGUUCUGAUAUUUAUCAUCAGCUUCUGCAUCUUCUUGAGGAAGCGGAGGCCAAGGAAAAAAGCUGAAAGUAAGCGACAAUCUAUCUAGUAUUGUUUUACGUUAGUCGCGUAAGAAAUGUAUUAUAUUUCAUUUGCUUGCUCCUCUUGUGAAGCCGUAGAAGAAAUGGAAAGCCCAGAAUCCUUCCAGCUGGACUUUGGAACAGUUAGAGUUGCAACAGAUAACUUCUCUGAGGAAAAUAAGCUUGGACAAGGUGGAUUUGGUGCUGUUUAUAAGGUAACAAAGAAUUCUAUAGUAUGUAGAAGAGAACAGCAUCAUUUUUAUCUUUGUUGAAACAUAUUAGGAUCAGAAUCCAGAUUUUCCUUUAUCGUUGCUCUCAAUAGACAUUAUUAAUUACAGGGUACACUGUAUAAUGGACAAGAUAUAGCAGUCAAAAGGCUUUCUAAGAAUUCAGAACAAGGAGAUCUGGAAUUUAAAAAUGAAAUCCUAUUAGUCGCCAAGCUUCAGCACAGGAAUUUAGUCAGGCUUCUUGGUUUCUGUUUGGAAAGGAAUGAAAGGCUGCUCAUCUAUGAAUUCAUGCCUAACACCAGCCUUGAUCAUUUCUUAUUUGGUAAGCCUACAAUUUUAUCAUCACAAUGUUUAAUUAGUUAUUACAACAUUUAUUUAUGUAAUGUAAUGACCCAUUCACCUAUCAUUUUCCUUAAUAUAAACUUCCACAUUUGCAACACAAAGUCACAAUUGUCUAUAAAUAUUAAACGAAAAUGCAAAAUUUAGUGUCUUCAUACAUUGUGUAUAUUUCCAUGGACAUGUAGAUCAGACAAAGCAUGAAAGUUUAGAUUGGGAAAGGCGCUACAAGAUUAUUUGCGGCAUAGCUCGCGGACUACUUUAUCUUCACGAGGACUCUCAAAUUCGAAUCAUUCACCGUGAUCUCAAAACUAGUAAUAUUUUAUUAGAUAUGGAUAUGAAUCCUAAAAUAGCAGAUUUUGGCAUGGCAAGAUUAUUUGUAAUUGAUCAAACUCAAGGCAAUACAAGUAGAAUUGUGGGAACUUAGUAAGUAUUAAACAAGUUAUAUAGCUAGAAUAGAUAUUCUUGUUACUAUUUUUUUUCUAAAUAAUUAUUUAUAAAAUUAAUAUCAUACUAAUGAAAUUUAAUUCUUCCAAUAUUGGUAUAUAUAUAUAGUGGUUAUAUGGCUCCAGAGUAUGCAAUGCAUGGACAAUUUUCCAUAAAAUCGGACGUAUUUAGUUUUGGAGUACUACUUUUGGAGAUUUUAAGUGGUAAAAAGAAUAGCUCUUUCCACAAUGGAGAGAGGAUAGAGGAUCUAUUGAGCUAUGUAAGUAUGAGCAAAUUGCUUGUGCCUUUAAUAGAAUUGUUGAAAGUAUGUUUUCUUUUAAUAUACAGAGUGCAAUUAUGGACAAAUUUUGCAGGCAUGGAGAAAUUGGAGAGAAGGAACAUCAAUGAAUGUUAUAGAUCCCAGUUUGAAGUCUGGUUCAAGUAGUGAAAUGAUGAGAUGCAUCCAAAUCGGAUUACUAUGUGUUCAAGAAAAUGUGGCUGAUAGGCCUACCAUGGCUACUGUUGUACUCAUGCUAAACAGUUACUCUCUUACUCUACCUGUGCCCCUACGGCCAGCAUUUUUUAUGCACACUGGCAUUCAUUUAGAUGUCUCUUCCGUGGGAAUGAAACUCUGAAGCUGAAAUUCUUCCACUAAUUGAGGAUGUAUCAUUAGUUCUAAUCUUUGUUAUCAAUUGAUUGUUUUUGACUCAAUUUUCAUUAUUCACUUCUGUAUAAGUCUUUCACCUUUACAUUAUAUCUGGUGUAAAUUAAAAUUCAUUUAUAAAUUUAUAUUUUGUAUGAUAAAUAUGAAUAAAAAUUCCUCUAAAAUCUUAUUUUAUUAAAUUGGAUAUAACUAAACUAAAUUUUAUCAAAUGUUUAAAAUGAAUUUUAAAUUUAUAAGAUUAUUCUUAAUUACUCUUGAUUUAAAUAAAUUUUUUACUUCCUUUUUUUGUACAUUUAUUCUUUUCUUUUUCUUGUUUAUUCAAUUAUAAAUUGAUUUUUAAAUAAUUGUAUAUAUAUUUAUUUUUUCAUAUUACAUAAAAUUCUAUUUAAAUACUAUAAAUAAAAUUAAUUCAUUAUAUUAUUUCAACCAAAACCGAACACAAUAGUACCGCUCAUUUUAGAUUUAAGUUUCAAUUAAUUGUUGUUGCUUACUGUGAUGAUCGUAACCAAUUACUGACUUUGAUAAAAAAAAUUUAAUGACUUAUAUUCUUUUUUAGUUACAAAUUUAAAUUUAAAUUAAGUAUGUAUAUCUACCUUCAAAUUAAAUUUGUGAAUAUCUAUAGAUCAAAUCAAUUAUAUGGUGACAUGUGGCUGUAGUUAUUAAUUACAAUAUUUUUAUUGGUUGGUGUAUUUAUUACCAAUAAUAAUUUAUGAUUAAAAUUCAAUCAAUAGAAGUGGUAAAAUUAAUAAAUUAAACCAUAUAUAACUAUGUAAUUGAUUUAGUAUAUAAAUGAUGUGGUAAAAUUAAGUAUUUGGCUAUUAGCAUGUUUCUUAAAAGUAAAAUAAGUUUAAAGCAGCUUUGGGUUAAUUGCUUAAAACAGUCUUCUUUUUCUUUUUUUUUAUUAAAUCCCUCAAUGCACGUAAUUUAAGUGGAUUAGAUCAAAGGAUUUUAAAUAAGAAAUUUAUAAAAUUCGUAAAUCUAAUUUAAAUUAUUCAUAUGAUAAAUAAAGAUAGGAGGCGUUCUACCAUUUCAUUCGUAAAUUAAAUUAAUUGUAUAAUAACAUAUGGUUUUAUUUAUUACUUGUUGCAUUUUCAUUAGUUGACUUAUUUAUUACCGUUAAUAACUCAUGAUUAAAAUUUAAAAUAAAAAUAUAAUAAAUAAUAAAUAAAAUCACAUAUCAUCAUGCAAUUGAUUUAGUUUACGGAUGAUGUAAUAUAUUGAGUUUGCCUAAGAAUUUUUCUAAAAAAUAUUCUAAAUCUAUAAAUUUUUUUAAAAAAUUUCAUCUUCUAAAAUUCUUAAUUUUAAAUUUUAAACUUUCACAAAAUCCAUUAUUUGAAAAAAUAAUGAAUUAUUUUUAUAAUUUUUAAUUCAAGUUUUAUCCUUUAAUAAAUUAAUAUUAUUUUAAAAUAACAUAAUAAUAAUAAUAAUAAUAAUAAUAAUAAUAAUAAUAAUAAUUUUUGCACUACAUAAUUAAAUAUAUAUUUCGAUUUGGAUAAGUUUUUUAUAUUAAUAAUAAUAAAAAAAUGUCUAUCUAUUCAUAUAUGGUUCACGAUUCAAAUACUUUUCAAAGAGUCAAUCCUUGUAUGUAACUUGAUUCAGUAGCGAUUCUUUUUGAUAAUUUCGUUGGUCAAAACAUUUAGAAAGAUUUGUUGAUAAUCGGUAAAAUCUCUUUUAAAUUGAAAAUAAAAAAAAUCCAUCAGCAAAGUUAUAUUCUUAAAAGAAAUUAUUUAAAUGUUUUUAGAAAGUAAAAGUAUGUAAAUAAUAGUUAGCAAAGUUGAGAUUUUUACAGCUAAAGAAAUUAUCUCAACCAAUUUAAUUUAAAAUAACAAAAUGGUGGAUUAGUAUGAAAUAGCAAUUUAACUUAAAAAGUUAUAUUUUAAUUGCUUGAGCAAUCUGAAACGGUGGAUUAGUAUGAAACGCCCGCCAUAACAAACAAUGGACAAAAGGAAAUUCCGCGUUUGGCACGUAAAAAUGCUGAAGUCAACCAAGACGGCUUCUCCUUGACCACUUCUAUCCCCAUCGCUAAUUUUCCGUAUACAUUUUAAGAAAUUAAUUAUUUAUUAUAUGGACCAUCCAUUUUUUUUUAAAAAAAUUAGAAAUUGACUAUUCUACUCCUUUCUCUAUCCAUUGCUCCUUAUUAAAUUCACUUUCUUAAAAUAUUUAAAAUUUAAUAUUUUAUUAAGUUUAAAUAAUACCCCUUAUGUUAAGGUUAGAUUAAAUAUACUGAUAUUCAACCAUCUUAUUUAUUAAUUCUAUUAAAGUGAAAAAUAUUAAAUUUUUUUGGUGACAAGUUAAAUUUACUAAAGAAUAAUUUUUAUUUAAAUAUAUAGCAAUGAUGAUAAAAUUUAAAACAUUAUAUAAAUCGAAUAGAAUUAAAAUUGAUUAAUUUUAAAUAAUAAAAUAUGCAUCAAAUAUCUAAUAUUAAAGUGUAAAAGACUUGUAUAUACUCUUGAUAUAUAAACCAAGCUUAGAUAAACUAUAAAGGUUUAUAAAAACAAAAAAAAGAAAACUAAUUUUGCAUCCACGGAAAGUUUGCAAUUAAAUAUGAUCCACUUGUAAUUAAUUUUUUUUAUUAUUCAACUUCUAGAAUUGCAUGGCCUAAAUUAAGCUCUAUUCUCCGAUUAGAAAAUAGAAUAAAAAGGAAAGACUAUCUUUUUUUUUCAGAAGAAAAAAAAAAAGACUAUAGACCAUCUUCAACGAAAAUAAUAAAAGUUCAUGGAAAUUUCUCGUGCCUUUCUUUUAAUUAUUAUUAUUAUUAUUAUUAUUAUAAAGAAGAACCAUGCAUGGAUUAUUUACGAUUUCAAGCACUUUCUUUCAAACCCAUCAAAAGCAAACUGAUUAAGAUUCAAACAGAAAUGAGGUUUUUAAGAUUUAUAUUUUCCUAUGUAUACAUUAUUCUUGUACAUCUAGCUAUUCUUACCAUGCAGCAAAAUUUCAGGCUGCGUCGGUCCUGUUCUAACAUAGGAAACUACACAGCUAAUAGCACCUACCAAAGGAACCUCAACGACCUGCUAUCUUCCCUUGCAUCUAACACUGCAAUUGACUAUGGCUUUUACAAUCUCUCUUGGGGUCAAAUUCCUGAUCAAGUGAAUGCAAUUGCACUUUGUAGGGGCGAUGUUCCGUCACGCACUUGUAGAGAGUGCGUUAGUAACUCUACCCGUGAUAUCUUGCGGACUUGUCCCAUUCAGAAGGAGGCAAUUGAAAUUUAUGAUUACUGUAUGCUGAGAUUCUCUAACAAAUCCAUAUUCGGAGUCGUGGAAGGAAACCCAACUUUCUAUAUGCGGAAUAGGAACACUGUAAUCGAUGUAAAUCCUUACAACCAAGCAUUGGAUACGUUGUUUGCGACACUUAGAAGCAGAGCUACGUCAGGAAACUCUACCCUAAAAUUUGCAACAGGAAACAUAGCUGCGGGUAUUCGUACAAUACACGCACUUGUGCAAUGCACUCCGGAUCUGUCUAAGCAGCAGUGCAAUGAUUGCUUGGUGAAUGCUAUCGGGGAGAUUCCAAAUGCUAGUGCUGACAGGGAAGGCGGGAGAGUACUGAAACCAAGCUGCAAUGUCAGGUAUGAGACCUAUCGUUUUGUUAAUGCUGAACUUGAUGCACCAGUGUCGUCGCCACAACCACCGCCAUUAUCUCCAUCACCGUCGACGCCAGUAGCUCCGCCUCCGCCUCGGUCUCCAUCAACAGGAGGUGUUUAUGGAUAUCUUAUUUGGUUGAUAAUUCGUGGUUCAUAUAUACUUUAUAUAUGACAAAUUAUUUAUCCUUUUAACCUAGCAGGGAAGAAGAGCAACGAAGCACGAAUUAUCAUUAUAAUUGUCGUUCCAAUUGUGAGCAUUCUAAUACUUGUCAUCUGCGUCUGCAUCUUUCUAAGAGCGAGGAAGCCAAUGAAAGAAAUUGAAAGUGAGUAAAGAAAAAAAAAAAAAAGGAAAAUCAGAUAUUCAUUUGCAUUAAUUUGCAUUAACUUGUUCUUUUUGUAAAGGUGUGGAUGAAAUACAAAGUGAGCUGGAGUCUUUGCAAUUCGACUUCGGCACUGUUAGGGCUGCGACAAAUAACUUUUCGGAGGAAAAUAAGCUUGGUCAAGGUGGAUUUGGGGUUGUUUACAAGGUAAAAUCUGAUACUAAUCAGGACAUCUAAAUCUAAAUCCUCUAUGUUGGUUAAUUAACUAUUGUUCUAUUUCUGCAGGGUACACUUUAUAACAGACAAGAUAUAGCUGUCAAAAGACUUUCUAAGGAUUCAGGACAAGGGGAUCUAGAAUUUAAAAAUGAAGUCUUGUUGGUGGCCAAGCUUCAACACCGGAAUUUAGUUAGGCUUCUUGGUUUCUGCUUGGAAGGAAAUGAAAGGCUUCUCAUCUAUGAGUUUGUGCCCAA
This 16917-nucleotide long non-coding RNA is filed under the name Ricinus communis (castor bean). RNAcentral's name for it is "long non-coding RNA (RCOM_LNC000997)". The record is from RNAcentral. Lineage: Eukaryota; Viridiplantae; Streptophyta; Magnoliopsida; Malpighiales; Euphorbiaceae.